Molecule: ribosomal RNA, 733 nt
Filed under: uncultured bacterium
Lineage: Bacteria
Description: SSU rRNA
Rfam family: Bacterial small subunit ribosomal RNA
Source: RNAcentral
AGCAAUACGGAGUGGCAGACGGGUGAGUAACGCGUGGGAACAUGCCCUUCAGUUCGGAAUAACUUGAGGAAACUUGAGCUAAUACCGGAUACGCCCUUACGGGGAAAGAUUCAUCGCCGAAGGAUUGGCCCGCGCCCGAUUAGCUAGUUGGUGAGGUAAUGGCUCACCAAGGCGACGAUCGGUAGCUGGUCUGAGAGGAUGAUCAGCCACAUUGGGACUGAGACACGGCCCAAACUCCUACGGGAGGCAGCAGUGGGGAAUAUUGGACAAUGGGCGCAAGCCUGAUCCAGCCAUGCCGCGUGAGUGAUGAAGGCCUUAGGGUUGUAAAGCUCUUUUACCCGGGAAGAUAAUGACUGUACCGGGAGAAUAAGCCCCGGCUAACUUCGUGCCAGCAGCCGCGGUAAUACGAAGGGGGCUAGCGUUGUUCGGAUUUACUGGGCGUAAAGCGCACGUAGGCGGAUUCUUAAGUCAGGGGUGAAAUCCCGAGGCUCAACCUCGGAACUGCCUUUGAUACUGGGAAUCUUGAGUUCGGGAGAGGUGAGUGGAACUGCGAGUGUAGAGGUGAAAUUCGUAGAUAUUCGCAAGAACACCAGUGGCGAAGGCGGCUCACUGGCCCGAUACUGACGCUGAGGUGCGAAAGCGUGGGGAGCAAACAGGAUUAGAUACCCUGGUAGUCCACGCCGUAAACUAUGGAUGCCAGCCGUUAGGCAGCUUGCUGUUUAGUGGCGCAGCU